AUGUGUAAGAAGCAGGUGUUUGAGACGCUGCACUCAAGGAAGGCUGGGGAAGUCAUUUGGUCUACAGCUGUGCACCUCGCAGAACCUGGCACCAACCAGGGAUCGAACGGAUGCUUGAAAAUAAAUGGCACCUGUGGAGAAAGUGCUCUGUCCCUGACUCUGUCAUCGGAGCCCGCAUUCGCCACCGCCAGCUCGAGGACCCUGGGCUCCGAGCUCUGCCUGCAGGAGAAGGGCUCUCUCUCUCUUAGCCAGGGGAUUCCUCUUCUGCUCCGGGAAGAGAAAAUGGGUCUGAGAAGGAACCAUCAUCCUACAAGGCAGAAGACCACUCCCAAACCAGCUGACCUUGGCUGUGUGCGGGUUGGACCUUUGCUACGUGACGCCCAAGGCAGGGCCUCUACCCAGCCCCACCUGCUGUCUGGGCCACAGCAUGACUUUCCGGGGCCCUGAGCUCCUUCGUCCUCCUGGACCCUUUCCUCCCUAAAAAAUACAAAUUUUGUUUCACAAUUGCCUCAGAAUGAAAGUGACUAGGGUCCGGGCUGGAUUCAUUA
This 548-nucleotide long non-coding RNA is filed under the name Mustela putorius furo (domestic ferret). Its description in RNAcentral is "lncRNA (ENSMPUG00000027890.1)". The record is from RNAcentral. Lineage: Eukaryota; Metazoa; Chordata; Mammalia; Carnivora; Mustelidae.